Molecule: ribosomal RNA, 717 nt
Filed under: metal-contaminated soil clone K20-14
Lineage: Bacteria; Bacillati; Bacillota
Description: bacterial SSU rRNA
Rfam family: Bacterial small subunit ribosomal RNA
Source: RNAcentral
UAACACAUGCAAGUCGAGCGAGAAACUUCGGGUUUCUAGCGGCGGACGGGUGAGUAACACGUGGGUAACCUACCUCAAAGAGGGGAAUAGCCUCCCGAAAGGGAGAUUAAUACCGCAUAAUAUCAUAGCUUCGCAUGAAGCAAUGAUUAAAGGAGUAAUCCGCUUUGAGAUGGACCCGCGGCGCAUUAGCUAGUUGGAGAGGUAACGGCUCACCAAGGCAACGAUGCGUAGCCGACCUGAGAGGGUGAUCGGCCACAUUGGAACUGAGACACGGUCCAGACUCCUACGGGAGGCAGCAGUGGGGAAUAUUGCACAAUGGGCGAAAGCCUGAUGCAGCAACGCCGCGUGAGUGAUGACGGUCUUCGGAUUGUAAAACUCUGUCUUUUGGGACGAUAAUGACGGUACCAAAGGAGGAAGCCACGGCUAACUACGUGCCAGCAGCCGCGGUAAUACGUAGGUGGCAAGCGUUGUCCGGAUUUACUGGGCGUAAAGGAUGUGUAGGCGGAUAUUUAAGUGAGAUGUGAAAGCCCCGAGCUUAACUUGGGGACUGCAUUUCAAACUGGAUGUCUAGAGUGCAGGAGAGGAAAGCGGAAUUCCUAGUGUAGCGGCGAAAUGCGUAGAGAUUAGGAAGAACAUCAGUGGCGAAGGCGGCUUUCUGGACUGUAACUGACGCUGAGGCAUGAAAGCGUGGGGAGCAAACAGGAUUAGAUACCCUGG